UAAGGCGGGUGCGGACGGCAAGGACGGCGUUUGCCGUGCCGAUUUCGUACGUGGUCGGUGUUCCAACCUUGCAGUCUCGUGCCCGCCAAU
Molecule: non-coding RNA, 90 nt
Filed under: Chromobacterium sp. LK11
Lineage: Bacteria; Pseudomonadati; Pseudomonadota; Betaproteobacteria; Neisseriales; Chromobacteriaceae
Source: RNAcentral